UGUAGGUUAAUCAACACCAAGGAAUAUCUAGUCACGUACAUGCUGCAAGUAAUGGUUUUGCAUUAUAUCCAAAGAUUUGCAUUUGGCUUCGUGAUACCCUGCAAAGACUCUCUUGACACAGUUUCAAGAGUAUGGUCCUGUCCAAAAAAUACAUCAGAACUAAGAAAAGCAGUUGAAAGGAAGAAAUGUCACGAUAUAAAGCAUUCAUGCAAGUCUUUUGAGUAUCACUGUGUAAUUAACGAUUGGAUGAAUGAAACGAUAGAAGUAUGCGCUCCAUCUUUACUUAUUAUUGGUGGAAGGUGUGCUGAAUUCAACACCGAUAAAGCAAGUAUUCGUGGCAACUUUUUGACAGAUUGCAAAUCUUCUACCAUGUCCGGAAUCCUACAACUCGACAACAUCAUAUAAAUAUUUUGGCUGUUUCUCUAACAUCACAAAAGGAAGAGUUACUACCCUUCGCACAGUAAUUUCAUCACAAAAUCUGCAGGAAACUUCACCAACACAUAGAAAUGAUGGGAUCCAUAAGACAUCAAAUAAUGGAAGUACCAUUAUCAUAUGUGUAAUCGUUGCUACACUGAUAGCAGGACUUGUAUCAGGGCUAACAUUCUGUUGUGUAAGGAAACAAAAAUGCAGCUGUCCACUGUGUGCAAGAAAAGGUCCAAACAGGAGACAUGACAGGAAGCAGGGCAUGGAAAA
Molecule: long non-coding RNA, 693 nt
Organism: Saccostrea echinata
Lineage: Eukaryota; Metazoa; Mollusca; Bivalvia; Ostreida; Ostreidae
Exons: 6
Source: RefSeq, a predicted model, not a curated record